Molecule: long non-coding RNA, 4753 nt
Filed under: Panax ginseng (ginseng)
Lineage: Eukaryota; Viridiplantae; Streptophyta; Magnoliopsida; Apiales; Araliaceae
Description: long non-coding RNA (PGIN_LNC001263)
Source: RNAcentral
UCCUUUUUUGGAACAGGUCUAGUACUCCAUCGUCUGUGUGCGUGGUCUGGAAAUAGAGAUCAUUUGGCUUUCACCUCUUUUCCUUAGCCAAAGUUCUAUGUUUCAAUUAGAGUGAUGGGCUAGCUAGGUUUCUUCUCUGGUUUCUCAUCUCUUCCUUAGCGAUAAUUUACGCGGGAUGAAUGAGAAACUUAGCGCUAAAUUUUGCCGUAAUUAGAGAUCGAUAAUUGAUCGUGCGAAGAAUGUUUCAUACUGCUAAAGGAAUUAUCAUUAAUCCCAAAAUUCCCCCCCCCCAACUUCAUCUUCCAAUCAAAAAAUCUACUCUUUCUAUCUCAAUUGCAGAUGCCCUAACUGCAAAGACCCAAAGACCUUUCAAUUUGUUCGAAGGUAUUUUUUUCUAACAACUUUGUUCCUCCUUAUUCCAUUACUUGCUAAAAUGAUUUAUAUAAUUAGUUUUAUUCUCAAUGAAAUUGGAGAGAAGGGAAGGAAUCUGAAUUUUUUAAUUAUGCUUUAACUUCUUUUAGGAUUAGUUUGUUGAUUUAGUACUUGGGAAUCUUAAUCUUUUUAAUUAUGCUCAUUUGGGUCUUCUUGCUUCUUUUGUUGAUUUGGGUAGCAAGAACUGAUAUAUAUUUAUUAGGAGUUUUGAUGUUUUAAUUCAAGUCUGCAUAUUCUCAUAAAUGGAAAAUCCAAUUUUCUGGCAAUUUAUUAAAACCUAUUAUGUAGUUGUUCGCACACAAAUAUUUGUUUUCUUUGUGAUUAGGCAUGAAGUUGCCAACGUUUUUAUAAGAUUCUCAAAAUAUAUGUCAAGUCUAUCUAAAUUGUGGUCAAAAGUUGGGCUCUACCCUAUGAUAUUUUGUUGUUAGUGGUUUAACUCAAAACUUAACCAUAACAUGGUAUGGUAAUAUUAUGAUUAAUGCACCCUUGACUUUUAGCUUAUGUUCAGACAUUAGGUUGUGAACAAAGCUACUUGUGUUAUUUAUGUCACAAUAAUGAUCCACAAAAAUUAAGUGGAAUAACCUCACAAUUUUUGAACAAACAACAAAGUGUAGCAAAUUCUGAGAUCUUUCCCCUUGAAAAUUGUUUCUUCCAUUCACUCCCAUUGUCCUAUAAUACACUUCCAGUAAUGAAAAUAAGAGAAACUCCUGCCAAUAUGAAUUUUUGCAUAUAGUCGGUUUAUCACGUCAUUAACAUCACAUGUUGAUAGGCAAACACGGAGUUGAUUUUAGUAAUUCUAAAGUUUUUUUGAUUUACAAUCUUUUAUUAUUUAUUAUGCUUGUAUUGCUUCUUAUAGAAAUUAACUGAAUAUGAAGUUCUUAAGUUUAAUUGUUCAAAUCAAAUUUUGGCUAACCACGCAUCUGUCAUCAAUAACCAUUUCAAAUAGUUUUAUUUAUUUUUAGAAUUUUUUUUGGUUGAAAAAUCAGUUCAGGCGCAGGCGGCAGAGUACUUGAAAAAUAAAACACUUGAGCAUAGUAUACAUCGUUCUCCAGUUUAUAAAGAAAGAUGAUGUUUUGGAAGCAUUUUAUUCGGAAAUGGGAUUAAGGAGCAUAAUAAAUGAAAAUUAUAAGAACACUGCAGCCUGCAAAAAUCACCUGCAACUCAAUGUUGAGGUGAGGUAUAUUCUACUUUCAUUUGUGCUCUUGGCAUAUACUAUUGGCUUACACGACUUACUUACUAAUGCAGGUACGGUCUUUCUAUGCCAUGUAUUGUACUGCUUGAAAUUGUAAACCGUUUGAUGCUGUAAGAGCUUCUCAUAGGGGGUUAAUACCUUGAAAACUAUUUUGAUGAUAAUACUAACUCGUAAAUUGUCUAUUGAAAUCUAUUUCUUUCCAAAAUAAUUAGAAGUUGCUCUCAUAAGCUUGGGCAUUCUUUAUAGAUGAUAUCCGUGACAGAUUUACGACCAAUUCAUUUAAUAAUUCCAUUUGUGGUACUCAUGCACAACAUUUUUUCUAGGAUAUCAAACUUAUGUAGUUGAAUGCUCAUCAUUUUACAAUACUACCAAUUCAUGAAUAAAUAAGGCCAUGUUUGUUUGUAAAAAAUGCUUGGGAUUGAACUAUUUGUCUUGAUUUAACAUUAUUACGAACUAUUUUAUUCAUGAUGGUAGAUUAAUAGUCAUUUAAAUAGUUAUAUAGACAAUUUUUUGUUAUUCCUAAAGCUAUUUAUGAGGGAUUAUAUGAAUGUGGGAUUAAUAAUCCCCCAUAAGCUAUCAAAUGACUUUAUGGGUCUAAUGGUUUCACUUUGAGAGAUUAAUAGUCCUUCGUCAAAGGAUAAAAUAGUCCGAAGUUGUGAUAAAUUAAGACAAAAUAGUUUAAUCUCAAGCAUACUUUUUGCAAACAAACAUAACCUAAAGAGUUAUAUGAAGUAUUCAGAUAUUUUGUAUUAUUUUCUAUUUGGAGAUGGCCCUGGAUUGGGCUUGUUAUUGAAUUUGGCGUUGUGUUGGGUCAGUAGUCAACUCUAUAUCACCCUGUUAAGGUAAUUUACAUUUCUACAUAUCAACAUACAUAGGUUGGCAGUAUCUCAUGUCCAGAUUUCAUUCCAGCACUGGGAACAAUAAACAUACAUGAAUUCUAGAAAUGUUACAUAUAUUUCCAUAGUGAACUUUACCUUAGUGGCACUAAUUCUCUUAGAUGAGCUAUACUAUAUUCUACUAAGUUAGAAAGGGUUUGCAGUAACUAUUAGUGUAUGCUCCUUUUCUCAUGCAAUCACAUGCCUAUUGCUUGUGCAGCUGUGUCUACUCUAUAGUUUUUUUCUUCCCAAAAGGUAAACAACUUUUGCAGUUUGAAAUUUGGAUAGUGCUCCCCUCAUUUGAAAUCUAGCGCCAUUCUUUUCUAGCAAUUGGACCCUAGGUAUACGUAAGUUCCUCUUCUAUCCCCUUGCAUCUAAUAUCCACAAUUUUAGAAUUGGAAAACCAUGCAUAUCCCAAAAAUCAAAUUUGCCUUAUCUCCACGCUUAUUUAAUGUUUGCAUUGGAGCUUGCAUACUUUAUUUCCUCUAAGACGGUGAAAGAUGUCUAUUUUUUCUCAUACUUUAUCCAUUUAACUUCAAAAACACUGGUGAAGCAUAUUAAACUAAGUUUACAAGGUUCUCAUCCAGAAUCUUAUCUCUUCUUCCUAGACCGUAGGGGUUUGAACUUGAAACUCAAAACUGAAAUAAAAGGUGAAAGUACGCAUUUUGUGAGGUAAUAAAUUUGAGAAAAUUCAACAGAGAGGUCCCAUUUUUUAUUAGUCUAAGAUAAAACAUAGACUUAGUUAAUAAGAUAAUUUUAUUUAAAAUCAUAACUCCCUCCUUUCUGAAAUUAGAGAUAUAUUCUGAUUUUAUGUCUGUUCUAAACUAGAGAUAUAUUUCUAUUUAUAUAUAGUGAUAGUAUGUUACUAAUUUGCCUUUUUUUAUUAUCAUAUCUAGCAUUACACAACCACCAUUAAAUUCUUAGCUAAUAUUUUAAAAUUCAAUCAUUUUAAAAAUAUAUCUCUAAUUUUGGAAUGAAAAUAUUAUCAAAUAAGCCAUGACAACUAGGGAAAGUAUGUUGUUUUUCUCGGAAUAAAAGAUUAGAAGUUUUUUGAACAAACAACAAAGUGCAGCCAAUUUUGAGAUCUUUCCCCUUGAAAAUUGUUUCUUCCAUUCAACUUUACUAGUUGGUUCAAGAUACUAAUCUUAAUACUUCACCAAUCAGGAACUCACCAUUCCAUUUUUGUUUGUGAGCUUUCCAUUGCUUGAUAUCUGUAAUGUGCUGAAAUAUAACAAAAUAUAUGGUCCAGGUAUGAGAAAGUACAUGUUGCUUGUUACAUAGUUAAUUUAGACAUAAUUGGUUUUUGAAAUUAAAAAAAAGAAAAAAGAAAAAAUUUCUUUGUUUAGUAUUCAUGUAUCUUAAGUACUUGAUUAAUACGAGUAACAAUUCUUUUUAUCUGUGAUUUAUGGCCUUAGAAAUCAUACAUGUCUAAUAUGAUCAGUAUAUCUUUUUUCUGAUUUUACAUUGUAUAUAUGUAUGCAUGUUUGGUACUGCAUUUCUUGUAUAUCUGGUAGUGUUCAACAUGGAUACAAAUACUCUAAAUAAACCUAUUCCUCCAUCUGAAACAAGUAUGACAAUAUUUAGCAUUUAGAAGGUUUUACCACUACUUCUUUUUCUUUUAUAGUUGCACAUAAUCCUCAAUCAUGGAUUAUAGACACUGGUAUUACUAACUACAUGUGUCACCAUAUUAGUCUCAUGCAUUACUUAAUCACUUUAUCUCAUUAUGUUUAUGUUUCCUUGUCCACAAAUGUACAAAUUAAGGUUAAUUAAGAAUGUUUUGUAGACUUAACUCUUGAUUUGACCAUUUAUAAUGUUUUUCUUGUUCCAGUAUUUCAUUAUAAUCUAGUUUUAGUUAGCAUGUUGACCCAGACUUCUAAGUGUCAAGCCUUGUUUCUUCACUUCGAAUGCCUAUUUCAGGACCUGAGCAUGAUGGCAAUUAUUGAAGUUAGUGAAGAGAAGGCAGGAUUAUAUGAACUACAUGCUCCUUCUUUCAAUAAAGAUGUUGCGCCUAAUCUUGUUUUCCUUGAAGUGGACCUAACAUGAUUUACAUUUCAUUCCUUCUAGCUCGUUGUUAUUUUUUCAGUUUUCUUAUGUUAGUUUUUAAAUAUUAUAAGUAUUAUGAUCCUUGGGAGAUCAAGAUACAAUAACAAAUUCUGUACUUAUUGUGACUUGAGCAUUAUUUAUUUAUAUAUGGAGUAUUAGUUUUAAUUUUUGGCUCUUUAAUGCAGUUUAUCAAUUAGUUUGAAACAAGUAU